AUGGCGGAAGUGCCGGGCGGCGGGCGGGCGGGCCGAGGCGGAGGCUGCCGUGCGCCAUGGCUGGCCGCGGCUCCGCGUCCUCCGAGCACCUGGAGCGGCUGCACGAGAUCUUCCGUGGCUUGCACGGAGACCUGCGGGGCAUCCCGGAGCGGCUGCGGGGCAGCGCGGCCGAGGAGAAGAAAAAACUCAUCCGAGAAUUUGAUGAGAAGCAGCGUGAAGCAAAUGAGACGCUGCAAGAAAUGGAGGAGGAACUGAAGUAUGCUCCUCUGCAUUUCCGCAACCAAAUGAUGAGCAAAAUCCGGGCCUACAGGAGAGAUCUCACCAUGUUCCAGAGGGAGAUGAGGAGCACAGACCUGGGACUGGGCCCUGGCAGUCAGGGCGACAUCAAAUACGGAAUCUUCUCCACAGAAAAUGAGCAGAGUACCACUGUGCAGUCGCAGAGGGUGCUACUUCUGCAGGGAACCGACAGCCUGAACAGAGCCAGCCAGAGCAUCGAGCGCUCGCACCGCAUCGCCGCCGAGACGGACCAGAUUGGCACCGAGAUCAUCGAGGAGCUGGGGGAGCAGCGGGAGCAGCUGGAACGCACCAAGAGCAGAUUGGUGAAUACAAGUGAGAACUUGAGCAAGAGUCGCAAGAUUCUACGUUCAAUGUCCAGGAGGGUAACCACCAAUAAGUUGUUGCUGUCAAUCAUCAUCAUCCUGGAACUAGCCAUCCUGGGAGGGGUGGUCUACUACAAGUUCUUUCGCAGCAGAUGAACCUUCAUGCCUGAGAUGAACUUUCCCACUGUCGAGGAAGGAGAUGGGCUGUCUCUUCCUCCCUCUGGCUGAGGAUGGAACUGUCUCAUGAGACACCUCAUUCAACUGAAACUGUACAGACACUAGACAGACAGAGAAGGGGAGUAAAAGGAAAAUGCAGAGACAGACUUGAACUACUGAUUCAUCUGGAGAGCUGGGUGUGGAAGUUCCUCAAAAGCAGUGUGUGCUCCUUCCCUUGUCUGCCCAAAGCACGUCGCAAUCACGUCCACUGCAAGACUCGCGGUUGCACUGACUUCCUCUUGAGAAGCUCCAAGCAGUGGGUUGACUUCAACCAUGUCUACAGCUGAAAGCAUUCCUGUGAAAAUGAUGUACAGCUCUGUUACUGUGUAAAAGGGUAUAAAAUCAGCUUUUCACUCAUUGCAGCAAGUCUCGAGCUUGUGACCUACUCUGCCCCUUAAACAAGUAAAAUCAGCUCUCAAAGGAGGGAUGAGGUUCUCAUUCUUAGAUGCACGUUUGUGGUGUUAAUUUGGUUUGUUCUUAUGUCACCACUACCUCAUUCACGCUUUUAGCAUUCAAGAAAAACAAGUUUGAUGUUCCAUAUAGGUUUGAGAGGAAUGGGUUUUUUUAAUCUUGUUUUCUCCCAGUCCAAAAAUAUGGGGAUAGAAAAUGGUCUCACCUGGUAUUUUUUGCAUCCUAUUCAUGAUUUUACUGAAUCUUGUCUGAUUGUGUUCUUUUCCUUCUUUUACUGCAAAUAACUCACUGUUUAGACGCUUUAAAUAAAAACACUGUGGUGUAAGGAGGAAAGGCCUCACACACUGAGUCACCUGUAAGGUCCUGGGUGAAAGCUUGAUGUGUUAGCCCUGAAUCCUCAGCUGGAACUUCAGACUGUUUACAAUGGUUUGCAGCUCUUUUCUUAAUUUCAGAUGCCCAUUUUUAUAUCCUGCCUCGUGUUUAGGAAUGGGGAACAGUAUUAUACAAGGUGACGAACUCAUUGUUGGCAUCAGUUGUUAGGUAUUUUAUUGAUUUUGGUAAGUGGAACUUUUUGAUGGUUAAGUUGCUUCCACUACCUGGGCUACUGCCAGACUAUAAUAGCAUCCUCUUCCCUUGCAGAAGGUUGAAUUUACUUUGGAGGCACCUUUAGCUUUGACUACAUUUAUGUUAUGAUCUAGUUACACAGGAAAAAUGUAAUGAGUAUGAGCUGGGCAGCCGGCCCUGUCCUUGCUUGGUGGGGCUCAGGUCCUACCUGUGUUGUGUAUCUCCUCUGUGAUGUACAUGCCUUCCCUGUACGUCAGGCCGCCCAGAACAGGAGUCCCAGUUGCUGGAGCCAGUGAGGGAUCAAAAGCAUCAAUGUCAAAACUCAAGUGAAUUGGUCUCUGUCUCCUGAGGCAGAAUAAACCAAGAAAAGACAUUUCAGAACCUUUUACUUUUUCUACAUGUAUUUCUUACUGUCCAGGCUGAUCAGCUUCUAGGAUGGAGGAAGCACCAAGCUUGAGUUCCUAGACAGCUCAUCAAGGGAAAGAUAAUAUCACAUGUUAGUUACUUACUACAUGGAGUCUGACAGUCAAUGACAGUUUAAUAAAUUGGACACUGCUUGUCACUGAGCUGAGCUAGUUAAGUACUAAACUGUACUUUCAAGAGAUGCUCAGUGGAGAGAAGCAUCUGGAUUAGCUGCAGCUGGGAAGGGUGAGCACCCCUUCAGGCACAUCAGUGUGCAGUACAGGCACAUGGUGCUUGUGACCUUCUUCAGAGACCUCUGCUCCGUGGUGAGAGAUCACCCUUUUUGACCCUGAGCCCCUCUACCUGGCCCUCGUCUGGUACCUGAACAAGUUUAGCAAAGACUUGAGUAUGGCACUGCAGCAGAGCAGUGGUCGCAGUGCCCUUGCCUCGCUGCCUUGGACUCUUGAGUUGAUUCAAACACCUUUAAAAACUGCAGCAAAAGACACAAGUCCUUACUUCAACAAGUGAUACAAAACAGAGCCCCAGCUGUAGCGACUAACAACCUCUGUCACAGCUUUUUUGUCAAACACUGUGAAAUGGUUCCAGUUCAAGGUGUGGAAGUUGAAGACUAAAGGACUGAGACUUUGCUAUUUACUGGACACACGAAGUUCUGUUAGGCUGCCUCGGGAAAGGAGAUAUUCAACAAGUGGAUGACAGGAGUAGUUUAAAUCAGAUAAUAGUUUGUUACCUGCCCAUCAGUUGUUCAAAUGUUCUUUCCAUAACUUUCUGGAUUCCAAGGCGAUCAAUGUCCCUCAUGGAAAAAUACUGGAUGUCAUAGUUCUUCAAAAUAUAGCUGUGAAAAUAAAGUAAAUCGUUACUGGAUUAAGCUUGGAUCCAGCAGUCCUCGUGAACAGGCAGCUGGGGAAAGCAGCUCAGGAUUUCAGCUCUUACUAAAAUCCUUCAAUCUGAAUCAACUUACUAUUCAGCAGGAUCCACAUCUCUCAAGCCAAUGUACACGAUAUCAGAUGCUGACAGGCAGGGCUUUAGCCAGGAAAAGCCAGGGAGUUGAGGUACCUGCAGGCAGAGGUUCAGUACUAAGUUUAAUGAUGGAUGUAACAAAACUGUAUUUAAUGCUUCCCUCAAAACUCUGUGUUUAUUUAUAACAUCCUUUGUCUAAACAGAGAAACUUCAUCUAC
RNA transcript from Colius striatus (speckled mousebird), 3388 nucleotides. It is a transcript of the gene named vesicle transport through interaction with t-SNAREs 1B, with no coding region annotated. The transcript has 7 exons. The record is from RefSeq and is a predicted model, not a curated record. Lineage: Eukaryota; Metazoa; Chordata; Aves; Coliiformes; Coliidae.